This 501-nucleotide ribosomal RNA is filed under the name uncultured bacterium. RNAcentral's name for it is "partial 16S ribosomal RNA". It matches the Rfam family "Bacterial small subunit ribosomal RNA", at positions 29 to 523 of the family's 1533-position model. The record is from RNAcentral.
AUUGAACGCUGGCGGCAUGCCUUACACAUGCAAGUCGAACGGCAGCACGGGUUCUUGCACCUGGUGGCGAGUGGCGAACGGGUGAGUAAUACAUCGGAACGUACCUUAUCGUGGGGGAUAACGCAGCGAAAGCUAUGCUAAUACCGCAUACGCCCUGAGGGGGAAAGCGGGGGAUCGAAAGACCUCGCGCGAUUAGAGCGGCCGAUGCCUGAUUAGCUUGUUGGUGGGGUAAAAGCCCACCAAGGGGACGAUCAGUAGCUGGGCGGAGAGGACGAGCAGGCAGACGGGGACUGAGACACGGCCCAGACUCCUACGGGAGGCAGCAGUGGGGAAUUUUGGACAAUGGGGGCAACCCUGAUCCAGCAAUGCCGCGUGAGUGAAGAAGGCCUUCGGGUUGUAAAGCUCUUUUGUCAGGGAAGAAACACCGGCUCUAACACAGUCCGGGAAUGACGGUACCUGAAGAAUAAGCACCGGCUAACUACGUGCCAGCCGCCGCCGUAA